Molecule: ribosomal RNA, 486 nt
Filed under: uncultured Acidobacteriota bacterium
Lineage: Bacteria; Pseudomonadati; Acidobacteriota
Description: bacterial SSU rRNA
Rfam family: Bacterial small subunit ribosomal RNA
Source: RNAcentral
GAGGAGCCUGCGGCGGAUUAGCUAGUUGGUAGGGUAACGGCUUACCAAGGCGACGAUCUGUAGCCGGCCUGAGAGGGCGGUCGGCCACACUGACACUGACAUACGGGUCAGACUCCUACGGGAGGCAGCAGUCGGGAAUUUUGGGCAAUGGGCGAAAGCCUGACCCAGCAACGCCGCGUGAAGGAUGAAAUCCCUCGGGAUGUAAACUUCGCAAGAAUGGGAAGAAUUAGUAGGGGACAAUACCCCCUAUGAUGACGGUACCAUUUGUAAGCUCCGGCUAACUCCGUGCCAGCAGCCGCGGUAAUACGGGGGGAGCAAGCGUUGUUCGGAUUUACUGGGCGUAAAGGGCGCGUAGGCGGCCAGCGCAAGUCGGUUGUGAAAUCUCCGGGCUUAACUCGGAAAGGUCAACCGAUACUGCGCGGCUAGAGUGCGGAAGGGGCAACUGGAAUUCUCGGUGUAGCGGUGAAAUGCGUAGAUAUCGAGAGG